AAACCGAGUCUUAACCGGGCGUUAAGUUGCAGGGUAUAGACCCGAAACCCGGUGAUCUAGCCAUGGGCAGGUUGAAGGUUGGGUAACACUAACUGGAGGACCGAACCGACUAAUGUUGAAAAAUUAGCGGAUGACCUGUGGCUGGGGGUGAAAGGCCAAUCAAACCGGGAGAUAGCUGGUUCUCCCCGAAAGCUAUUUAGGUAGCGCCUCGUGAAUUCAUCUCCGGGGGUAGAGCACUGUUUCGGCUAGGGGGCCAUCCCGGCUUACCAACCCGAUGCAAACUGCGAAUACCGGAGAAUGUUAUCACGGGAGACACACGGCGGGUGCUAACGUCCGUCGUGAAGAGGGAAACAACCCAGACCGCCAGCUAAGGUCCCAAAGUCAUGGUUAAGUGGGAAACGAUGUGGGAAGGCCCAGACAGCCAGGAUGUUGGCUUAGAAGCAGCCAUCAUUUAAAGAAAGCGUAAUAGCUCACUGGUCGAGUCGGCCUGCGCGGAAGAUGUAACGGGGCUAAACCAUGCACCGAAGCUGCGGCAGCGACACUGUGUGU
Molecule: ribosomal RNA, 549 nt
Filed under: Salmonella enterica subsp. enterica serovar Enteritidis
Lineage: Bacteria; Pseudomonadati; Pseudomonadota; Gammaproteobacteria; Enterobacterales; Enterobacteriaceae
Description: partial 23S ribosomal RNA
Rfam family: Bacterial large subunit ribosomal RNA
Source: RNAcentral